UUAUAGCUUAGUUUGUAGAGCAUUUGCCUAGCAUGCACAAGGCCUUGGGUUCAAUUCCCAACAA
Non-coding RNA from Mus musculus (house mouse), 64 nucleotides. Lineage: Eukaryota; Metazoa; Chordata; Mammalia; Rodentia; Muridae. The record is from Rfam.